GACGAACGCUGGCGGCGUGCCUAAUACAUGCGAGUUGAGCGCUGAAGGUUGGUACUUGUACCAACUGGGUGAGCAGCGAACGGGUGAGUAACGCGUGGGGAAUCUGCCUUUGAGCGGGGGACAACAUUUGGAAACGAAUGCUAAUACCGCAUAAAAACUUUAAACACAAGUUUUAAGUUUGAAAGAUGCAAUUGCAUCACUCAAAGAUGAUCCCGCGUUGUAUUAGCUAGUUGGUGAGGUAAAGGCUCACCAAGGCGAUGAUACAUAGCCGACCUGAGAGGGUGAUCGGCCACAUUGGGACUGAGACACGGCCCAAACUCCUACGGGAGGCAGCAGUAGGGAAUCUUCGGCAAUGGACGAAAGUCUGACCGAGCAACGCCGCGUGAGUGAAGAAGGUUUUCGGAUCGUAAAACUCUGUUGGUAGAGAAGAACGUUGGUGAGAGUGGAAAGCUCAUCAAGUGACGGUAACUACCCAGAAAGGGACGGCUAACUACGUG
RNAcentral lists this ribosomal RNA (497 nucleotides) under uncultured bacterium. Its description in RNAcentral is "partial 16S ribosomal RNA". It matches the Rfam family "Bacterial small subunit ribosomal RNA", at positions 28 to 507 of the family's 1533-position model. The record is from RNAcentral.